AUUGAACGCUGGCGGCAUGCCUUACACAUGCAAGUCGAACGGCAGCGCGGGAGCAAUCCUGGCGGCGAGUGGCGAACGGGUGAGUAAUAUAUCGGAACGUGCCCAGUAGUGGGGGAUAGCCCGGCGAAAGCCGGAUUAAUACCGCAUGAGACCUGAGGGUGAAAGCGGGGGAUCGCAAGACCUCGCGCUAUUGGAGCGGCCGAUAUCAGAUUAGCUAGUUGGUGGGGUAAAGGCCUACCAAGGCAACGAUCUGUAGUUGGUCUGAGAGGACGACCAGCCACACUGGGACUGAGACACGGCCCAGACUCCUACGGGAGGCAGCAGUAAGGAAUAUUGGACAAUGGCCGCAAGGCUGAUCCAGCAAUGCCGCGUGCAGGAA
This 379-nucleotide ribosomal RNA is filed under the name uncultured bacterium. RNAcentral's name for it is "bacterial SSU rRNA". It matches the Rfam family "Bacterial small subunit ribosomal RNA", at positions 29 to 409 of the family's 1533-position model. The record is from RNAcentral.